This 730-nucleotide ribosomal RNA is filed under the name uncultured bacterium. RNAcentral's name for it is "bacterial SSU rRNA". It matches the Rfam family "Bacterial small subunit ribosomal RNA", at positions 771 to 1501 of the family's 1533-position model. The record is from RNAcentral.
AACAGGAUUAGAUACCCUGGUAGUCCACGCCGUAAACGAUGUCGACUUGGAGGUUGUGCCCUUGAGGCGUGGCUUCCGGAGCUAACGCGUUAAGUCGACCGCCUGGGGAGUACGGCCGCAAGGUUAAAACUCAAAUGAAUUGACGGGGGCCCGCACAAGCGGUGGAGCAUGUGGUUUAAUUCGAUGCAACGCGAAGAACCUUACCUACUCUUGACAUCCAGAGAACUUGGCAGAGAUGCUUUGGUGCCUUCGGGAACUCCGAGACAGGUGCUGCAUGGCUGUCGUCAGCCCGUGUUGUGAAAUGUUGGGUUAAGUCCCGCAACGAGCGCAACCCUUAUCCUUUGUUGCCAGCGGUUCGGCCGGGAACUCAAAGGAGACUGCCAGUGAUAAACUGGAGGAAGGUGGGGAUGACGCCAAGUCAUCAUGGCCCUUACGAGUAGGGCUACACACGUGCUACAAUGGCGUAUACAAAGAGAAGCGACCUCGCGAGAGCAAGCGGACCUCAUAAAGUACGUCGUAGUCCGGAUUGGAGUCUGCAACUCGACUCCAUGAAGUCGGAAUCGCUAGUAAUCGUAGAUCAGAAUGCUACGGUGAAUACGUUCCCGGGCCUUGUACACACCGCCCGUCACACCAUGGGAGUGGGUCGCAAAAGAAGUAGAUAGCUUAACCUUCGGGAGGGCGUUUACCACUUUGUGAUUCAUGACUGGGGCGAAGUCGUAACAAGGUAACC